Molecule: long non-coding RNA, 424 nt
Filed under: Homo sapiens (human)
Lineage: Eukaryota; Metazoa; Chordata; Mammalia; Primates; Hominidae
Description: non-protein coding lnc-GAPVD1-1:5
Source: RNAcentral
ACUCCCGGCCCUAGGGGGUCGGAGUAGGUCCAGCAGGAGUGACCCCCCGGGGCUGUGGGAUCUGAAACUUUUUCUUCUCUACUGCUUGUUCUCCCUUCCUCCAUCCCUCACCCCGAAGCGGGAAGCAGCUUUCUCUUCCCAGCUUCCAUCCAGUCUCUGAGUAGACCAGUCGCAGCUUAGAUGCUGGGAUCGCCUCAGAACACAUUUCUUUGCCCUUCACGGCCACUACCGGUAUUGGGGUAUGCGAGUCUCAGGGCCGUUCGUUGCUCACAGGUCGAGCUGGUCUGGACUCUGUUCGACCACGAAUCAUGACUCCUUCCUGCCAGUUAUGUCCCCUCCGCACCCUUGCCCAGCCAUUUUACCAGGCCUCUCCACAUUGCGCUGCCCCACGUUUCCUUUGAAGUAAAAUAAGCUGCAAAAUAUG